RNAcentral lists this ribosomal RNA (468 nucleotides) under uncultured bacterium. RNAcentral describes it as "partial 16S ribosomal RNA". It matches the Rfam family "Bacterial small subunit ribosomal RNA", at positions 28 to 507 of the family's 1533-position model. The record is from RNAcentral.
GACGAACGCUGGCGGCGUGCUUAACACAUGCAAGUCGAACGGAAAGGCCCUGCUUUUGUGGGGUGCUCGAGUGGCGAACGGGUGAGUAACACGUGAGUAACCUGCCCUUGACUUUGGGAUAACUUCAGGAAACUGGGGCUAAUACCGGAUAGGAGCUCCUGCUGCAUGGUGGGGGUUGGAAAGUUUCGGCGGUUGGGGAUGGACUCGCGGCUUAUCAGCUUGUUGGUGGGGUAGUGGCUUACCAAGGCUUUGACGGGUAGCCGGCCUGAGAGGGUGACCGGCCACAUUGGGACUGAGAUACGGCCCAGACUCCUACGGGCGGCAGCAGUGGGGAAUAUUGCACAAUGGGCGGAGGCCUGAUGCAGCAACGCCGCGUGCGGGAUGACGGCCUUCGGGUUGUAAACCGCUUUCGCCUGUGACGAAGCGUGAGUGACGGUAAUGGGUAAAGAAGCACCGGCUAACUACGUG